Molecule: ribosomal RNA, 325 nt
Filed under: uncultured eukaryote
Lineage: Eukaryota
Description: partial 18S ribosomal RNA
Rfam family: Eukaryotic small subunit ribosomal RNA
Source: RNAcentral
CCCUUAGAUGUUCUGGGCCGCACGCGCGCUACACUGACACGUUCAUCAAGUCUAUAACCUUGACCGAGAGGUCUGGGUAAUCUUUUAAAAACGUGUCGUGCUGGGGAUAGAUUAUUGCAAUUAUUAAUCUUCAACGAGGAAUUCCUAGUAAACGCAAGUCAUCAACUUGCAUUGAUUACGUCCCUGCCCUUUGUACACACCGCCCGUCGCUACUACCGAUUGAAUGCUCAGGUGAGCCAUUCGGACUUUCAUCAUGCUGGUUUCCAGUUUUGAUGAAGGAAAGUCUUGCGAACCUUAUCAUUUAGAGGAAGGAGAAGUCGUAACA